GAUGAAGAACGCAGUGAAAUGCGAUAAGUAAUGUGAAUUGCAGAAUUCAGUGAAUCAUCGAAUCUUUGAACGCACAUUGCGCCCGCCAGUAUUCUGGCGGGCAUGCCUGUUCGAGCGUCAUUACAACCCUCAGGCCCCCGGGCCUGGCGUUGGGGAUCGGCGGAGCGCCCCCUGCGGGCACACGCCGUCCCCCAAAUACAGUGGCGGUCCCGCCGCAGCUUCCAUUGCGUAGUAGCUAACACCUCGCAACUGGAGAGCGGCGCGGCCACGCCGUAAAACACCCAACUUCUGAAUGUUGACCUCGAAUCAGGUAGGAAUACCCGCUGAACUUAAGCAUAUCAAUAAGCGGAGGA
This 353-nucleotide unclassified non-coding RNA is filed under the name soil metagenome. RNAcentral describes it as "partial contains 5.8S ribosomal RNA, internal transcribed spacer 2, and large subunit ribosomal RNA". The stretch from base 1 to 120 matches the Rfam family "5.8S ribosomal RNA", at positions 35 to 154 of the family's 154-position model. The record is from RNAcentral.